GACGAACGCUGGCGGCGUGCUUAACACAUGCAAGUCGAACGGAAAGGCCCUGCUUUUGUGGGGUGCUCGAGUGGCGAACGGGUGAGUAACACGUGAGUAACCUGCCCUUGACUUUGGGAUAACUUCAGGAAACUGGGGCUAAUACCGGAUAGGAUCUCCUGCUGCAUGGUGGGGGUUGGAAAGUUUCGGCGGUUGGGGAUGGACUCGCGGCUUAUCAGCUUGUUGGUGGGGUAGUGGCUUACCAAGGCUUUGACGGGUAGCCGGCCUGAGAGGGUGACCGGCCACAUUGGGACUGAGAUACGGCCCAGACUCCAACGGGAGGCAGCGGUGGGGAAUAUGGCACAAUGGGCGGAAGCCUGAUGCAGCAACGCCGCGUGCGGGAUGACGGCCUUCGGGUUGUAAACCGCUUUCGCAUGUGACGAAGCGUGAGUGACGGUAAUGGGUAAAGAAGCACCGGCUAACUACGUG
Molecule: ribosomal RNA, 468 nt
Filed under: uncultured bacterium
Lineage: Bacteria
Description: partial 16S ribosomal RNA
Rfam family: Bacterial small subunit ribosomal RNA
Source: RNAcentral